This 576-nucleotide ribosomal RNA is filed under the name Streptosyllis aequiseta. Its description in RNAcentral is "partial 16S ribosomal RNA". It matches the Rfam family "Bacterial large subunit ribosomal RNA", at positions 1796 to 2608 of the family's 2925-position model. The record is from RNAcentral. Lineage: Eukaryota; Metazoa; Annelida; Polychaeta; Phyllodocida; Syllidae.
UCGCCGGUUUUUGAAAACCAUUGUCUUUUUUAAAUUAAUAAAAGAUACAACCUGCCCAGUGAUAAUUUCAACGGCCGCGGUAUCCUGACCGUGCAAAGGUAGCAUAAUAAUUUGUCUUGUAAUUUAAGACUAGAAUGAAUGGUUUUAUGUAAUAAAUUCUUUUUCACUUUUUACUAAAAAUAAAAUUAUAAGUAAAAAUGCUUAUAUUUUACAAAAAGACAAGACGACCCUAUAGAGAUUUAUCUAAAAUUUUAWCUUAGAUUUUGCUGGGGCGGCAAGAAAAUAUUUACAACUUUUCUUUUUUUAAACUGUUAAGUUAAGAUCCUAAUGGAUAUCAUGUAAGAGCUACCUUAGGGAUAACAGACUAAUUUUAUUUUAGAGUUCUAAUCCAAAAUAAAGUUUGGCACCUCGAUGUUGGCUUACAAUAUUUUUUACCCGCAGAAAGGAAAAAAAAUGCCUUGUUCAAACAUUAUAAUUUUACAUGAUCUGCGACACCCGGUUGGAUCAGGACACCCCGAUGGUGCAACCGCUAUCAAAGGUUCGUUUGUUCAACGAUUAAAGUCCUACGUGAUCUGA